CACCGCUGCCCAGGGCGGAGGAAACACCCUUGACUCGUGGGGCUGGGAACGCGGCUCCCCCGGCCUGGCUAAGGCUCCGCAGCGUCCUGGAGCCGCUUCGACGGGGGCUGCCCGGACAUUAGGACCAGUGCACAGGCUAUACACACAAGGGAUCAGAAUUAAGGUUGCAGUAGCUGCAGCAGCAACUGCAAUAACGCUGUUUUCCCUGGAGCCAGAGAAGGAAAGAUGGGCACCCUUCUUGCUCCAACAACUGCAUCCCUUUCCCUGUGCAGCCCAAGCCGUGGAGCUCUCAGAAGGUUUCAUGGGCCUGGGGACUGUGCCACUGAGAUAGCUGAGCCUUGCUGUUAUUCAGGUAGUAAUGAAACAAACAAACAAACCCCAUAACUUCUGGAUGAAACUUCUGAGAGAGGGCCAGAACUUCCCCUCGUGGUGGUAAAACCUGUAGCAGGAGGAUCUGGUGAUGGCCUGUUCAAUGUCAUGAAAGGGCAUGCAGUAGGAACCAGGGAGAUCAGAAGGGAUUAGUUUAGAGUAGUCAAAGCAAGAUGUGGUGAGGGAAUGGGCUAUGGUUUUGGUAGGGUUGGAACACAAAAGAUCCGUUUUGGAGAUGUUGUAAGGACAGACAGAUAGGUUUUAAUGUCAGGCUGGAU
Long non-coding RNA from Mauremys mutica (yellowpond turtle), 647 nucleotides. RefSeq lists it as uncharacterized. Lineage: Eukaryota; Metazoa; Chordata; Testudines; Geoemydidae. The transcript is spliced from 4 exons. The record is from RefSeq and is a predicted model, not a curated record.